Molecule: long non-coding RNA, 695 nt
Organism: Carassius auratus (goldfish)
Lineage: Eukaryota; Metazoa; Chordata; Actinopteri; Cypriniformes; Cyprinidae
Exons: 4
Source: RefSeq, a predicted model, not a curated record
UUCGUUAUCCACAGAGCCGUUAAAAAAGUCUGUUAAUCGAUGUACACUGCCAAGAGCUCAAGUGUUUUCAAGCAUAGUAAAUAAGAGUGCGUUAAUGCCAAAGAAACGGUGGUUCUCAACUGGCUUUGCUUCAGGGCCCAGAUUUUACAUUUGGACAUCAAGUGACUGGCACAUUGUGGUUUGUCAACACAGUCUUUUCCGAUCCAAGACCAGGCCUGGUUUGAGAAACGGGGGAGAUCGAGAUCUGUGUCAAAAUGUGCAAAAGAGAAGUCAUUGCAUGUCCCCAGCCAUCUUCAUGAAGCACACAUGAGGAGGAGAGGUGAGAAGAGUUAAACGAGGAGACAGAGCUCGGGUUUUAAUGGACGUCGGUGGAGAGACUGGGCUGGCUUAUCACUUAAGUAAAUCUGCACCUAGGCUAAUCAGAUUUGCAAAUAAAAAAUUCAUUUUGGAUUUAUCUAUCUUUGGAGUUAACACCGGAAAAAGCUAUUUUAAUUGCCUCUUGCAGUCAGGGAGUAAUUGAAAACGGAGCCAUCAAGUCGGACAGUUCAUGCCUCGGUGAUGCUGUUUGCAUUAUUUAUCACAGAAGAUGAGGAUUAGAUGACACUUUUGUCAAAUAUGGGCUACACACGUUUACACGUAGCAUCAGAAUCAUUUUUAAGUCAGUAUUUUCUGAACUGCUUCAUACAGAGCAAAUC